UACAGAGGGGGCGAGCGUUGUUCGGAAUUACUGGGCGUAAAGGGCGCGUAGGCGGCCUUCUAAGUCGAACGUGAAAUCCCCGGGCUCAACCCGGGAACUGCGUCCGAUACUGGGAGGCUUGAAUCCGGGAGAGGGAUGUGGAAUUCCAGGUGUAGCGGUGAAAUGCGUAGAUAUCGAGAGGAACACCUGCGGCGAAGGCGGCCUCUGGACGGAUACUGACGCUAAUACGCGAAAGCGUGGGAGCAACAGG
RNAcentral lists this ribosomal RNA (250 nucleotides) under uncultured bacterium. RNAcentral's name for it is "partial 16S ribosomal RNA". It matches the Rfam family "Bacterial small subunit ribosomal RNA", at positions 524 to 776 of the family's 1533-position model. The record is from RNAcentral.